RNAcentral lists this small nucleolar RNA (130 nucleotides) under Physeter macrocephalus (sperm whale). RNAcentral describes it as "Physeter catodon (sperm whale) Small nucleolar RNA SNORA70 (ENSPCTG00005017196.1)". It matches the Rfam family "Small nucleolar RNA SNORA70". Rfam says of the family: snoRNA U70 seems to be exclusive to mammals and is a member of the H/ACA class of snoRNA which contain H (ANANNA) and ACA box motifs. H/ACA box snoRNAs are involved in the conversion of uridines to pseudouridines (5-ribosyluracil) a constituent of structural RNAs (transfer, ribosomal, small nuclear, and small nucleolar). The record is from Rfam by way of RNAcentral. Lineage: Eukaryota; Metazoa; Chordata; Mammalia; Artiodactyla; Physeteridae.
UUGCAGCCACUUAAGCUGCAAAGAUUCCCCGUGGGGAAUCGGUGUACAAAGGCUGCAAACAGCAGCCUCCUCGGUAGCGCAUGCAGCCUGUUGCCUGUACAGGUUGCCCUAAGGGACCUUGCACAUAGCC